GGUUGGCCAGGCUGAACCGCAGAGUUCUAAUCGAACUGCAGCCUUUUCCUGGCGCUCUCCGCUCGCACUGAGGACGCCAUGAGCUGGCUCUUAUUCUUGGCUGGUCCUGGCAGGAUCGCAAUGAACAGACGACUCCCCGAGCACUCGGUGUUUAACCAUGGGAGCAGGCUUGCCAGAAACUGACUUUGGAUUUGGGGGAUAGAAAGAACUGAAGAAAAAUUUGAGACAUCAUAUAAUUUGUGAUAUGAAUGCAAGCAACAACACUAAGUAAAACAACUAGAAUGGCAUGUAAUCCAAGAUGAAC
This 304-nucleotide long non-coding RNA is filed under the name Fukomys damarensis (Damara mole-rat). RNAcentral's name for it is "lncRNA (ENSFDAG00000023816.1)". Lineage: Eukaryota; Metazoa; Chordata; Mammalia; Rodentia; Bathyergidae. The record is from RNAcentral.